AUACGGGGGGGGCGAGCGUUGUCCGGAAUUAUUGGGCGUAAAGGGCGCGUAGGCGGAAUAGUAAGUCAGAAGUGAAAAUCAUGGGCUUAACCCAUGACCUGCUUUUGAUACUGCUAUUCUCGAGUGCGAGAGAGGAAAGUGGAAUUCCCGGUGUAGCGGUGAAAUGCGUAGAUAUCGGGAAGAACACCGGUAGCGAAGGCGGCUUUCUGGCUCGCAUCUGACGCUGAGGCGCGAAAGCGUGGGGAGCAAACAGGAUUAGAAACCCCAGUAGUCC
RNAcentral lists this ribosomal RNA (274 nucleotides) under uncultured bacterium. RNAcentral describes it as "partial 16S ribosomal RNA". It matches the Rfam family "Bacterial small subunit ribosomal RNA", at positions 523 to 796 of the family's 1533-position model. The record is from RNAcentral.